AUGGCUCAGGAUGAACGCUAGCUACAGGCUUAACACAUGCAAGUCGAGGGGCAGCAUUGGGAUAGCUUGCUAUUCAGAUGGCGACCGGCGCACGGGUGAGUAACGCGUAUCCAACCUUCCUGCCAGUAGGGAACAGCCCGGCGAAAGUCGGAUUAAUGCCCUAUGUUCUUCAAUGCGGACAUCUAAGUUGAAGGAAAGAUUCAUCGCUGGCAGAUGGGGAUGCGUCCGAUUAGCUUGCCGGCGGGGUAACGGCCCACCGGGGCGACGAUCGGUAGGGGUUCUGAGAGGAAGGUCCCCCACACUGGUACUGAGACACGGACCAGACUCCUACGGGAGGCAGCAGUGAGGAAUAUUGGUCAAUGGGCGUAAGCCUGAACCAGCCAAGUAGCGUGCAAGGAUGACGGCCCUACGGGUUGUAAACUGCUUUUAUGCGGGGAUAAAGUGCGGCACGUGUGCCGCUUUGCAGGUACCGCAUGAAUAAGGACCGGCUAAUUCCGUGCCAGCAGCCGC
RNAcentral lists this ribosomal RNA (510 nucleotides) under uncultured bacterium. RNAcentral's name for it is "bacterial SSU rRNA". It matches the Rfam family "Bacterial small subunit ribosomal RNA", at positions 19 to 518 of the family's 1533-position model. The record is from RNAcentral.